RNAcentral lists this ribosomal RNA (434 nucleotides) under uncultured bacterium. RNAcentral's name for it is "bacterial SSU rRNA". It matches the Rfam family "Bacterial small subunit ribosomal RNA", at positions 958 to 1392 of the family's 1533-position model. The record is from RNAcentral.
AACGCGAAGAACCUUACCUGGGUUUGACAUGCACCAGACAUCCCUAGAGAUAGGGCUUCCCUUGUGGUUGGUGUGCAGGUGGUGCAUGGCUGUCGUCAGCUCGUGUCGUGAGAUGUUGGGUUAAGUCCCGCAACGAGCGCAACCCUCGUUCCAUGUUGCCAGCGCGUUAUGGCGGGGACUCAUGGGAGACUGCCGGGGUCAACUCGGAGGAAGGUGGGGAUGACGUCAAGUCAUCAUGCCCCUUAUGUCCAGGGCUUCACACAUGCUACAAUGGCCAGUACAGAGGGCUGCGAGACCGUGAGGUGGAGCGAAUCUCUUAAAACUGGUCUCAGUUCGGAUCGGGGUCUGCAACUCGACCCCGUGAAGUUGGAGUCGCUAGUAAUCGCAGAUCAGCAACGCUGCGGUGAAUACGUUCCCGGGUCUUGUACACACCG